Pseudophryne corroboree (corroboree frog) is the source of this 1480-nucleotide long non-coding RNA. RefSeq lists it as uncharacterized. The record is from RefSeq and is a predicted model, not a curated record. NCBI's taxonomy places the organism in Eukaryota, Metazoa, Chordata, Amphibia, Anura, Myobatrachidae. The transcript is spliced from 3 exons.
UAAGAAUGUCUCCCUGCCUCAUGUACUCUACUUCCUGUAGCACUGUACUACUGUAAAGUAUUGAACAAUACUGUAGUACUGUACAUAACAAUGUAAAAUUUGACUUUUCGUUUUUGGUUUAUAAUUUAAAAAAAAUUUAAUAUUCAACACAGAUAUCGGUUACGUGGAGCCGGAGGAGGAGGAGCCCCAAUGUAGUAAGUACAGUAGGAAUUUCUCUAGCCCAUUCUUAAAAGUAUUGACCAAGUCACUUUACUACUCUCUCAGGCAGGGAAAUUCUAAACAUGUACAAUAUUGUCCUUACAGUGAAGAACCCUUUUCGCCUCUGUGUGCAAAAUAUCCUCUCCUCCAACCGAGCGGAUGUACACGUGUCCUCUGUGUCGAUCUUAUAAAAAACAGAUCCUCCGCAAGCUCUGUGUAUUGUCCCCUUACUGUAUAUAUUUGUAAAGGUUAAUCAUGUCCCCUCUUAAUCUUCUCUUUUCCAAUGUAAACAUGCCCAGCAAGCCUUUCCUCGUAUUCCAGCAUCUCCAUCUCCUUGAUCAGUUUGGUCGCCCGCCUCUGAACCUUUUCUAGUUCCACGAUAUCCAUUUUGUAGUAUGGUGCCCAAAAUUGUGCAUCCUAACCACCCUCCACUAGCCUAACCCUCAAAUCAUACUCUGAUUCCGGCCUCGGCAUUCUGAAUGCCGGGAUCCCGACAGCCGGUAUUUUAAAUACAGGUACAGUAUAGUACUGUAUGUCCCCUACCACUGGACAGUCAUUUUGGUCCUACUAUAUUAUGAAUGUUUGUCUGCCUCCUGUAGCACUGUACUACUGUAAACUACUGUGCAAUUUUAUAGUAAAUGUUCUCUACUGUAUUUUAUUUAUAAGCUUUUUUUAUUUUCCACUCAGUAAUUAUCAUUGACAGCAAUGAGGAGGAGGAGGACGAGAAGCCUUCUUCCCAACUUGGCCCUACACUGUCACAUGCCAUGGAAGAGGAGGAUCAGCAGCCUCUGUCCCCCACCACACCACUCACAGCAAAUCACCGGGCAUGAAUCCAAUUGAAUUAGUGUGGGCUCAAUUGAAGAGAUACAUUAGGAGUGUUGCGAAGCCAACAACAAAACAGCUGUUGGAUGGGAUCCAAAAAUUUUAGCUAGAAGUACUCACACCUGAACAUUGUAAUAAUUAUAAAACUCACCUGUAUAAAGUAUUACUAGUUAUAGUUGAAAGAAAUGGUCAAGCCACAAAUAUGUAGUUCUGUACUACAUUUUCUGUAUAAAAUUUUAAUCGAUGCAUUAUUAAAAAUGUUUAUAAAAUUGCCUUUGUCUGAAUAGUGCGUAAGCUAAUGUACAAUAUUCUACAUUAUACUAUACAGUAGUACUGUUAUUGAUGUGUAUGAACAGUUUACAGUUUUAUACAGUAAGUCCUGAAUAAAAGAGUACUGUACAUUUUUGAUCAGUACAGUAUAUGAAAUCUGAUUUUGUAAUAAAGACUUUUUUUACAUUUA